This 535-nucleotide ribosomal RNA is filed under the name Clostridia bacterium. RNAcentral's name for it is "partial 23S ribosomal RNA". It matches the Rfam family "Bacterial large subunit ribosomal RNA", at positions 1 to 536 of the family's 2925-position model. The record is from RNAcentral. Lineage: Bacteria; Bacillati; Bacillota; Clostridia.
GAUUAAGCUACAAAGAGCAUAUAGGGGAUGCCUUGGCACUAGGCGCCGAUGAAGGACGUGAUAAGCUGCGAUAAGCGACGGGGAGAUGCAAAUAAUCUGUUAUCCGUCGAUUUCCGAAUGUAGGAAUACACUACGAGUUAUGUCGUAGUAUCAUAACACGAAUACAUAGUGUUAUGAGGGGAACCCGCUGAACUGAAACAACUAAGUAAGCGGAGGAAAAGAAAGUAAAACAACGAUUGUGGGAGUAGUGGCGAGCGAAACUGCAAGAGCCCAAACCUAGCGAAGAAAUUUGCUAGGGGUUUAGGACCGCAACAUGACAAGACAAAUGAUAGGUGAAGAUUGUUGGAAAACAGCACGAUACAGGGUAAUAGUCCCGUAACCGAAAUCAAAUGAAAGUCUAGCGGUAUCCAGAGUAACACAGGACACGUGAAAUCCCGUGCGAAGACGCGAGGACCAUCUCGUAAGGCUAAAUACGACCUAGUGACCGAUAGCGAAUAGUACCGUGAGGGAACGGUGAAAAGAACCCCGGGAGGGG